RNAcentral lists this ribosomal RNA (522 nucleotides) under uncultured bacterium. RNAcentral's name for it is "bacterial SSU rRNA". It matches the Rfam family "Bacterial small subunit ribosomal RNA", at positions 34 to 529 of the family's 1533-position model. The record is from RNAcentral.
CGCUGGCGGCGUGGAUAAGACAUGCAAGUCGAGCGCUAAUUUCAGGGUAGCAAUAUUCUGGAGUUGGAGCGGCGCAAGGGUGCGUAACACGUGGGUAAUCUGCCAUGAAGUUCGGGAUAACUUGCUGAAAGGCGAGCUAAUACCGGAUGUGACAACCGAGAGGCAUCUCUUGGUUGUUAAAGUUGGGGACCGUAAGGCCUGACGCUUCUUGAUGAACCCGCGGCCUAUCAGCUAGUUGGUGAGGUAACGGCUCACCAAGGCUAAGACGGGUAGCUGGUCUGAGAGGACGACCAGCCACACUGGAACUGAGACACGGUCCAGACACCUACGGGUGGCAGCAGUCGAGAAUUUUUCACAAUGGGCGAAAGCCUGAUGGAGCGACGCCGCGUGGGGGAUGAAUGGCUUCGGCCCGUAAACCCCUGUCAUUCGCGAUCAAACCUUAUUAUUUAAAAGAUGAUGAGCUGAUAGUAGCGGAAGAGGAAGGGACGGCUAACUCUGUGCCAGCAGCCGCGGUAAUACAGA